RNAcentral lists this ribosomal RNA (497 nucleotides) under uncultured bacterium. RNAcentral describes it as "partial 16S ribosomal RNA". It matches the Rfam family "Bacterial small subunit ribosomal RNA", at positions 29 to 507 of the family's 1533-position model. The record is from RNAcentral.
AGUGAACGCUGGCGGUAUGCCUAACACAUGCAAGUCGAGCGACAGCACAGUAAGCUCUCUCCCUUACCGUUGGCGGGUGGCGGACGAGUGAGGCAUACAUCGGCUUCCUCUUUGUCUUGGGGGAUAACGGGGGGAAACUUACACUACUACCUCAUACGUCCUACGGGUGAAAGCAGUAGAGCUUGGGACCUUGCCUGUCUGUUUUAGACGGAGCCGGGUCGGAUUAGCUAGUUGGUAAGGUAACGGCUCACCAAGGCAACGAUGCGUAGCCGACCUGAGAGGAUGAUCGGCCACACUGGAACUGAGACACGGUCCAGACUCCUACGGGAGGCAGCAGUAGGGAAUCUUGCACAAUGGGCGAAAGCCUGAUGCAGCCAUACCGCGUGAGUGAAGAAGGUCUUCGGAUUGUAAAACCCUUUUAUUGGGAAAGAAAAAAAGUAUAAUAAACCCCCGAUGUUUUGACGGUACCCAAAGAGUAAGCCCCGGCUAACUUCGUG